UGGGACCAUUGCGAGCUGUUUUGACUGUUUCUUUUCCGAGCGCCUGGUUAUGCUAGACGUCCCAACUUUCUCCUUCCGGAGUGCCUCCCCUCCAGCCGAGCCUCUUUCUUUUCAGCCCACAGAACCCCUCUGUCAGAUGCGACCAAGGAAAAAACUUUACAUUGCAACAAAUGAGGGAUCUCCCUCUGUCUCGGGAAGAUUUGGACGUGGCUAGCAGACCCCUUCCCUUCAGAAAGACUACAGUCAACUUUCUAGCCGAACUCUGAACUCCUCCUUAAGGCUGCUGAGGAAACGGCUGUCCCGGCUGUGCUGCCACCGGCUGAGUGAUCACUGAGAGUGAGGACACGAAGGCGACGUGGUGAACAGGAAAUGCAGACCUUUCAACUGGCUGGGCGGUUACCUGUGAAUGGACAAGUGAUGAACCAGUUUCUACAUGAUAAACUACACUCAGCAGCAAACUCAUUUUAGCCAGGCUGAGUGUAAUAUAUUCAUCUUUUAUUUUAAAUAUGCUCAAUAUGUAAAAUUAAUAUAAUUACAGUAUUUCUUCCAUUACAUUUAUGAAGCAUUGUUAUAAAUAUGCAAAACAAGGCAAAUUUGGAACCAAUACACAAUUUUUGGAAGAUAUGCUCCUUUGUUCAGACAACUUUAUUAUCAUUUUAGCCAGCCUAUAAAAAGUCAACAAUAAAUAAUAAAGACACACCUUCCAAAUUAUUGUCUUGAAAUAGAAACAGAGAGUUAAAAGAAGAAAUAAGUAAUGAUACUUUUUUUUUCUAUUUGCAUUUUCUUACCUUAAUCCAGCCAGAGUCACUUGGGCUGGGGAGGGGAUUAGUAAUAGAAAUGGAAGAAAUAUUAAAUCCAAGGAUGCUACUGAUUUUUCCUAAUAUUACAGCUUGUCCAAGAGAACCAGCAGUUUCCUGG
Molecule: non-coding RNA, 918 nt
Organism: Saimiri boliviensis boliviensis (Bolivian squirrel monkey)
Lineage: Eukaryota; Metazoa; Chordata; Mammalia; Primates; Cebidae
Source: RefSeq, a predicted model, not a curated record